GAUGGGUGCAGUGGAGGCUCUCCAUGAAAUAGCAGAACAAGUGGGGAAAAAGGAUUGGAACUUCGCCCUCAACCCUUGUGAUGGCAACUCCAACAGGUCAACACCUUACAGGAAGGAGAUACCAUUGCAGAACAAUACUCUCUCCUGCAAUUGCUCCUAUCCCAACGGUCAAUGAGAUAAUUGGGGGGAUUGGAUCUGCAAAUUGGUUUGUUUACCUUGAGACAAAUUAAAGCCGCUACCAACAACUUUAAUUCUGCAAACAAGAUUGGUGAAGGAGGUUUUGGAUCAGUCUACAAGGUCAUGAAGAAAUCCAAUUGAAAUUAGAUUGGCCUACCAGGCAAAGGAUUUGUGUUGGCAUAGCAAGAGGUUUGGCUUUC
Vitis riparia (riverbank grape) is the source of this 377-nucleotide long non-coding RNA. RefSeq lists it as uncharacterized. The record is from RefSeq and is a predicted model, not a curated record. The transcript is spliced from 3 exons. Lineage: Eukaryota; Viridiplantae; Streptophyta; Magnoliopsida; Vitales; Vitaceae.